UGUAUUCCAAAUACCAUGUGAGAAUGAAAGCUAGAUAAUAGAGCAAUCAAGAAGGAUCCAUCAGCUAAGUGAGUGGUUGACUGCUCAGUUGAGUAAAUAGGGGCAGAGUUGUUGUUUGCUGGUGGUUGAUGUGUCUCUAGUGAACUUCUCCUGCUGUUCUUCAUGUCAGCCAUAAAGGCUGACUGGAUAAUGUUGUAGAAAUGCCCAUCUUGAAAGGCUCCAUGAAGGUUGAAUGCUGGUAGUGCACUGCAGUAUGUUUGUUUCUUAGGUUCCUUGAAACCACUGUUUAGCAGAUGUAAUUCAAAGUAGUAUCUGGUGAAAUUGCUAUGCUGUUUCAGUAGUAUUUUUGUAUUCCUUGAGGCAUGUAUGGAUGAAUAAUUAGUGCAAACGAAACUGUUUCAUCAGAGUGAGCACAUAAGUGCUAAUACCAUUGAUGGAAACUACACCACUUGCAGAGUUAAACACCUUGUACCUAUAAAAAUAGCAAAAUUAUUAGUUAAAAUAGGGGUGGGGGGCUGACUCCUGAAUGGUCUGCAUCCUGCUACCUAUGCCUUGGCUUCAUAGCUUCCAAUAUCCAUCAAAAGUGAGCUGAACUUCUGUGUUGUGGGAAACCUGCAGAUAUGAGUAUUAUCAGAUGCAACUAUACAUCAUGACCAUAUAGGCUUGCUUCUCUGUUCCUCAAGUAGUGGUUUUCUGUUGAUCUCAAACUCUGUAGGUUGUUUCUGCAUUGUGCCAUAUAGGCUUGCUUCUCUGUUCCACAAGUAUUGGUUUUCUGUUGAUCUCAAACUUUGUAGGUUGUUUCUGUUUUGUGUAAAUGUGGUUGAUGUUCUCCUGAAGCUCAUAAGGUUAUCAGCAGUAUUCAAUUGAAGUGAUUGCCAUCUUCUUGGUACAGAACACUUGCAGAGUUCUUGAUACAUAUCACGUGCAAAAACCUACUAAUUCACUUCAAUUUCGUUUCUUUGGUUGAGGUUAACUGAACCUCUAGUACCUGCAAAAACCCAUCAAUUCACUUCAAUUUCGUUUCUUUUGUUGAGGUUAACUGAAGCUCUAGUUCUAUCGACUGGGAAUUAUUUCAGUUUAGCUCAUUUAUUGACAUUUGAGUUUUCAGUUUUGUUACCUUUAUGAUUGUGUUCUUGAUGUUUUCUCUGUCAAAGUUAUUAUUAUAGAGUUUAUAUCUUUUUUUUUUGUCCAGGACGACAUAAUGUCUAAAAUUCUAUCUGUGUCUCAGCUUGAAGAUGGGUCCAUUGAGCCUCCAAAAGAUUUCUCACAAAUUUAUUUGGAGGAAGUCGGUGUUAAGAAGACGUGCAUUUAUGGUCUUGCUUCUCAAGCUCCUUUCUAUGGGCAUGUUGGUGCUUCCUCCAGCUCGAUAUCUCCACCUCUAGAUCUAGACUUCAAUGCUCGGGUGAGUGAAUGUGUAGGACAUCGUUUGCAAGAAAUUAAGGAAGAGAUGAAGCAUGAGAUGAGAUCUGAGAUAAGAGAAGAGAUUAGACAAGAAAUGAGAGAAGAAAUGCGUGAAGAAAUGAGACACGAAAUGCAGCAAGAGGUGUGCGAGCAAGUUGAUCAACUACUCCAAAACCGUCUGUCGAUCCUCAUAGGUGGCUUACCUACACCGCCUUCUCGUAGGCACGACUCGUCGCCAAAUAACACGAGUCAAAUUUAGAUUUAUGUUAGCUUCUUUUAUGUUAGACACGUCUUGGAUUCUGCAACUCGUCGCCAAAUGACACGAGUCACAUUUAGAUUUAUAUUAGCUUCUUUUAUGUUAGACACAUCUUGGAUUCUGCUUUCAACUUCAUGAUACAUAUUAUUAUUUAUAAAGUUUUGGUAAGUUUUAGUAUGUUUAAGUAAGACACUUAAAAUUAACAAUUAUUGUAUUAACCAUUAUAAAUUUGUUCCUCUAGGUACUUAGUCGUAUUCCCAUUCAAUUAAGUCAGAAUACACACAAUCCCUACACAUGAUUUCUAUGUACACACAAGAAGAGAAAUUUAAAGACAAACUGACCUUUUUGCGGGCAAUGAACUAGGGCGAGGAGGCUUAGAUCUUUCGGACAUUGACUCGGUUCCACUACCUCGGAUAAAUAUGAAUCAACGGAAUAAGCUAAUAAUCAUUUAGUGAAAUCCACUAGAGACCGAGAAGAAAUAGCUAGAUUAGUUAAAAAUGAGCAAUGAGCUUCUCUGAAGGUAAAAAAAGAAAACACCCCAAAAAAAAACUCCUAAACGCUGAUAUUUAUAGAUAAAGCAGAAUUUCAAAAUAAGGAAUUCAAAAUUGAGCUCGAUCUACAUACCUCAACACGGCCCGUUUGAAUUCGAACGUCAGGGAUUCAUUCUUCACCUGACUUGGUCUCAGAGAGAGAUGUUAAAAGAAUAAAUUUGCACCAAAAUGGUGCAACCCAAUUUGUACGGUAAUGAAGAAGAUGGGGUUUUGUUAAAAGAAGGAAAAGAGAAAGGAAUAGUGAGGAGCGUG
This 2460-nucleotide long non-coding RNA is filed under the name Nicotiana benthamiana. Its description in RNAcentral is "long non-coding RNA (NBEN_LNC008097)". The record is from RNAcentral. Lineage: Eukaryota; Viridiplantae; Streptophyta; Magnoliopsida; Solanales; Solanaceae.